This 1285-nucleotide long non-coding RNA is filed under the name Mus caroli (Ryukyu mouse). Its description in RNAcentral is "lncRNA (MGP_CAROLIEiJ_G0005103.1)". The record is from RNAcentral. Lineage: Eukaryota; Metazoa; Chordata; Mammalia; Rodentia; Muridae.
ACGGCAGUUGGUCUCUGAGGCGGCGGCGGUAACAGUUUCUCUCGGGAGGUCCUGCUCGGUCCGGGCGCCAUGCCUCUGGAUCGUCAGGUGGCCAUGGGGAACCUUGGCAAUCAGGACAUCCUGGCCAUCUUCUACCGCCUGCGCUUCGUGCUUAGCAACCACAUAGAGGCCGCCUGGCGAGCCCGGAACCCGGCAAUGGACGUGGGAGGAGGAGGAGAAGGCGCCCGGUUGGUCAACGGUCGUAUUCGCCCACGCGGGUUCUGAGUGACUUGGAGGACUGCUCGCCCUCGCCCCAGAAUGCCUGGCAUAGGAUAUGACUGUCAAUAUUUAGCUCUACAAGAAGACAUGACAUUUACACACAAAAGGAAGACAUGAUUCAUUGGUUUUAAGUAAACACAACAUAAUGCAUCCUAAAAGUGCCUGGACUCUAGGGCUACCUGAUGGAGGACCCACCAUGACCCAUUAAUUCCCUAGUAAUUAACACAUGGAAUGGGGUACCAGUGAUGAAAAAUGACCACAAUUAACUCCCUUUCAAGACUCCUUCCCAGAUAUCUGAUCAGGACCAAGACUGGGAUCUCUGGGUCCGUAACAGUGAAACAUCCUCUCAUUCUCUUGGUUCUGCUUCUGUUGAGAGGCCCUGCUUAAAUCACUUUCUUCAGCUCGUUGAAAGCAGCAGGACAAAAAAGCACUGCUACUACCACAAAGGAAGCUGGGCCACUUACCUUUGAAGAUGGCUUGCACACCUCAUCUUUAAGUCUUUCCCUAAGAAUGGAUGGUUUCAAAUGUGGGAGCAAGAGUUUUCAGAGCCUACGUUCUCCAUGUUCAGGUCCAGUCCCUGUGCUUCUCCAUGGCACAUCAUUCUCCCUGUGUCUACUCUGCCUCUCACUGGAUAGAUGUAGGUGAGAGAUGUGCACCCCAGUACUCGCUGUUUUGGAUCCCAAACAUACAUCUACAUUGAUGGCAUAGCUAUGAGUGUAGCUGCCUUCCUCAUUCACCACAUGCCUGUGUUCAUUUUGUCAGUGGUGAGCGCUGUGCUGUGCAACCUUCUAACCUAGAUCUGGCCCCAGCAUCCUGAAGCAUAUGAGGCACCUCAGAGAAAAGGUCUAAAUGGGCCUUAUAAGAAAAUGAGAAUACUUUCUGUUGCAUUGGGUUUUGAGUCUUAAGUUACAGGCACAAAGCUGCAUGAAUUAAACAUUCCUAAAGUCUGUCUACUCAGCCUCUUACACUAGUCUGUCCACAGGAAAGGCAUUGAAAUAAAAGGAAAGAUGAAGAGCAAUACAGUCCA